This 543-nucleotide ribosomal RNA is filed under the name Mycolicibacterium tusciae. RNAcentral's name for it is "bacterial SSU rRNA". It matches the Rfam family "Bacterial small subunit ribosomal RNA", at positions 44 to 601 of the family's 1533-position model. The record is from RNAcentral. Lineage: Bacteria; Bacillati; Actinomycetota; Actinomycetes; Mycobacteriales; Mycobacteriaceae.
GUGCUUAACACAUGCAAGUCGAACGGAAAGGCCCUUUCGGGGGUACUCGAGUGGCGAACGGGUGAGUAACACGUGGGUGAUCUGCCCUGCACUUUGGGAUAAGCCUGGGAAACUGGGUCUAAUACCGGAUAUACCUCAUGGGCUGCAUGGUUUGUGAGGGAAAGCUUUUGCGGUGUGGGAUGGGCCCGCGGCCUAUCAGCUUGUUGGUGGGGUGAUGGCCUACCAAGGCGACGACGGGUAGCCGGCCUGAGAGGGUGACCGGCCACACUGGGACUGAGAUACGGCCCAGACUCCUACGGGAGGCAGCAGUGGGGAAUAUUGCACAAUGGGCGCAAGCCUGAUGCAGCGACGCCGCGUGAGGGAUGACGGCCUUCGGGUUGUAAACCUCUUUCAGCAGGGACGAAGCGCAAGUGACGGUACCUGUAGAAGAAGGACCGGCCAACUACGUGCCAGCAGCCGCGGUAAUACGUAGGGUCCGAGCGUUGUCCGGAAUUACUGGGCGUAAAGAGCUCGUAGGUUGUUUGUCGCGUUGUUCGUGAAAUC